RNAcentral lists this ribosomal RNA (447 nucleotides) under uncultured bacterium. RNAcentral's name for it is "partial 16S ribosomal RNA". It matches the Rfam family "Bacterial small subunit ribosomal RNA", at positions 29 to 507 of the family's 1533-position model. The record is from RNAcentral.
AACGAACGCUGGCGGCAUGCCUAACACGUGCAAGUCGAACGAUGCCUUCGGGCAUAGUGGCGCACGGGUGCGUAACGCGUGGGAAUCUGCCCUUGGCUUCGGAAUAACAGUUAGAAAUGACUGCUAAUACCGGAUGAUGUCCCCCUGAGAGAUCUUGGGGACCAAAGAUUUAUCGGCCAGGGAUGAGCCCGCGUAGGAUUAGGUAGUUGGUGGGGUAAAGGCCUACCAAGCCGACGAUCCUUAGCUGGUCUGAGAGGAUGAUCAGCCACCCUGGGACUGAGACACGGCCCAGACUCCUACGGGAGGCAGCAGUGGGGAAUAUUGGACAAUGGGGGGAACCCUGAUCCAGCAAUGCCGCGUGAGUGAUGAAGGCCUUAGGGUUGUAAAGCUCUUUUACCAGGGAUGAUAAUGACAGUACCUGGAGAAUAAGCUCCGGCUAACUCCGUG